Molecule: ribosomal RNA, 235 nt
Filed under: uncultured bacterium
Lineage: Bacteria
Description: partial 16S ribosomal RNA
Rfam family: Bacterial small subunit ribosomal RNA
Source: RNAcentral
CGAACGGGUGAGUAACACGUGAGCAACCUACCUUACACAGGGGGAUAGCCGUUGGAAACGACGAUUAAUACCGCAUGAGACCACAGAAUCGCAUGAUGUAGGGGUCAAAGAUUUAUCGGUGUAAGAAGGGCUCGCGUCUGAUUAGCUAGUUGGAAGGGUAAAGGCCUACCAAGGCGACGAUCAGUAGCCGGUCUGAGAGGAUGAACGGCCACAUUGGAACUGAGACACGGUCCAA